GGGGGUAUAGCUCAGUGGUAGAGCAUUUGACUGCAGAUCAAAAGGUCCCCAGUUCAAAUCUGGGUGCCCCCU
RNAcentral lists this transfer RNA (72 nucleotides) under Amphiprion percula (orange clownfish). It matches the Rfam family "tRNA". Rfam says of the family: Transfer RNA (tRNA) molecules are approximately 80 nucleotides in length. Their secondary structure includes four short double-helical elements and three loops (D, anti-codon, and T loops). RNAcentral also lists the same sequence under 2 other names. Lineage: Eukaryota; Metazoa; Chordata; Actinopteri; Pomacentridae. The record is from Rfam by way of RNAcentral.